AAACUUUCAACAACGGAUCUCUUGGUUUUCGCAUCGAUGAAGAACGCAGCGAAAUGCGAUAAGUAAUGUGAAUUGCAGAAUUCAGUGAAUCAUCGAAUCUUUGAACGCACAUUGCGCCCCUUGGUAUUCCGAGGGGCAUGCCUGUUCGAGCGUCAUUA
This 158-nucleotide ribosomal RNA is filed under the name Aureobasidium pullulans. RNAcentral describes it as "5.8S ribosomal RNA". It matches the Rfam family "5.8S ribosomal RNA". From Rfam's summary of the family: 5.8S ribosomal RNA (5.8S rRNA) is a component of the large subunit of the eukaryotic ribosome. The record is from RNAcentral. Lineage: Eukaryota; Fungi; Ascomycota; Dothideomycetes; Dothideales; Saccotheciaceae.